This 282-nucleotide unclassified non-coding RNA is filed under the name Glomus sp. Its description in RNAcentral is "partial contains 5.8S ribosomal RNA and internal transcribed spacer 2". The stretch from base 1 to 65 matches the Rfam family "5.8S ribosomal RNA", at positions 84 to 154 of the family's 154-position model. The record is from RNAcentral. Lineage: Eukaryota; Fungi; Glomeromycota; Glomeromycetes; Glomerales; Glomeraceae.
GUGAAUCAUCAAAUUUUUGAACGCAAAUUGCACUCUCUUCGGAGAGUAAGCCUGUGUGAGGGUCAGCCUAAAAAAAAUCGACAUAGUUGCUGUGACGCGGUAACAUUAGUCGGCAAUUGGGUCAUCUUAAACCUUUGGGUUUAAGCAGCUUAAAAUCUGCUUUACGAUGCCAAGAACUUUACUAAGAUUUUAUUUUCUUAUACGUUUAAGGUAUAGAUCUUUAUAAGACGUGGCCGUUGCAUCGGAUCUCGACCAUAAAUAUAUCGUUAACUUAACUCAGAC